CCUCCAAGGAUUUCACGGACUUCCUCCUUUGUAGCAUCCUCAUCUUGGGGGCUAUGAUGCAAGAGAAAGGUAGAAAAUGAUCUUGAGAGUGGAGAAGGGUUGGAUUGAACUGAAAUCAAGGAGGAGAAGUCAGUUUUCGAGAGGUUUCCCAUGGAUUUGAUGGCUAGGAUUUGGAAAUUUAGGAAAAACCAAAAAUGAGCC
This 201-nucleotide long non-coding RNA is filed under the name Elaeis guineensis (African oil palm). RNAcentral describes it as "long non-coding RNA (EGUI_LNC059146)". The record is from RNAcentral. Lineage: Eukaryota; Viridiplantae; Streptophyta; Magnoliopsida; Arecales; Arecaceae.